GGGUAGUUAGCUCUGUAAGUGGUCAAUAACAGUUAUUUUUGUAACUUUCCCUCUACACCAAUACAGUGACUUUUAACCAUCAAGAUGUGAUUAAAGUGCAGACUUUAAUUCAUGAUGUUCAAAAACAGCAGUGCAUUAGCGGUUUAUGGAUUACAGCCAUGUUUUAUACAUAGUCCCCUGUUUUCAGGGUAAUUAGAAAAUUAACUGUCAAGCAAUUUCACAGCCAGGCAAGGCCUGUUUGUUUUCAUUAUCCACUGGCAAGUUAAGCAGAUAAAAGGUCUGGAUUUUUUUUCCAAGGGUUGAACUCUCAUUUGGUAGCUGUUCACUAGAACUUAGACCAACAUGUCUUUGAACCUUACUAUGUGAAGGAGGCAAUCAUGACACUGAAAAAGCACAAUAAAGUUAAAUACAAGUAAAAUGCAGGACUGACCAAUCUGAUGCAUUAAAAAUGAAUGCACUGGCAAACUCCACAACAACAAAAGUGCCACAGAAAACAACUAAAGUGGAUGACCCCGAAUCAUUUGCUUAGUUAAGAAAAACCACGUCACAGCAUUUUGCCAAGUGACGCUAUUGAGGAUGUAGCCGAGCCAUUGUUGAUGUCUACGAGAGAGGCCUUCAUGAAUGUAAAUAAAAAUGGUUUACAACAAGGUGCAAACUACUGGCUGCACUCAAAAAAAAGGCCAGAAUAGAUUUUACAAGAAAAAAAGACACUAAAAGAAACUGCAGUUUGGGAAAAAAACCAACUACGAAUGAUUAGAAGAGAUCUGAAGCAUACCAUGUCAUACGAUUGCUGUGGUGGACACAGUUUUGUGGCAUGGGUGGUGAUAGAACUGGGCCUACAGUGUUUAUUGAUGAUGUGACCGCUGAUAGGAGUAGUGGCAUGAAUUCUCAAUUGUUCACAGCUUUACUCUGUUCAGAUUCAGCCAAAUGCUGCAAAGCUGAUCACACAGACCCUCACAGUGCAAACAGAUAAUGAUACGAAGAUUACUACAAAAUAAACCCAAAAGCUACCAAAGAAGUGUGAUAUUCUUAAAUGGCCAAGUCAGUCACUUCAUCUCAACCUAACAGGGCAAUGCAUUUCAGUUAUUGAAGACACAAAGUGAAUACAGCAAGACCCCGAAACAAGCAGCCGUAAAGACCUGGCAGGGUGUCUCAAGUAGAGAAACACGGCAUUUGGUGACGUCUGUGUCUAACAGUAACUUUGUGUACAUUUAGAUAGAUUGAUACAUAGAAGUGCAUCAUAUUUGCAUAAACUCAUAAUGAUUAAAGUUAUGACAAAAUAAAAGAAAAUAUAAAAAAGAAAAAUGUGAGAAUUCAAGGACGACAGCAAUUCAAGGCACACAAAAAGUAUUCAUCCCCAAAAAUCCAGUAAAGUGCGUUUGGUUUAACAGACGUAAAUUGAAGCCAAAGGCAAUAGCCCCACCUGCUGGCAGUACAAAUCACUACACCCUUAUGAGACGCGUGUUCGUCACCGCCAUAUUGCAGCGGUGUUUCUGAGCAGCUCAAACUGAAUGACCAGAGACGGUAACAUUUAUCAUUGCAAACAAGGAGGCGAUUUUGCUUGAAAUGUGGAACCGCGAGACUUCCUAAAGUUUUAUGUGGUAUUUGGUGUUCGUUACAGUCAUGUGUGCGCAGACAAGACUUUCCCGCACCAAUAUGGCUGCGACUAUGCAUAUGCACUAUCGUUAAGAAAUGUAAAUAGCAAAAUAUAUUAAACUCUGCUGAAUAUAUUACAUUGUUUCAUUAUUUUUCGUAAUUAUUUUCCAAGUUUUUUGUGGUGUGCUAUUAUUUGUUCUUAAAAAAAAAACCGUCAGCGAACGUAACGUCCUGUGAUUGGGCUGCAGGACCAUCUUCCACUCGCUGAGUGACUGUUAGAGGGCGUGCUUUUGCUUUUGCAACGCUCACACUGCAGCUACGUAACCUGUAAUGUCAGCGGCUGGAUUUUGAUAGAACAUUUUAAUUUAACAGGAUAAACCAGAUUUUUGUAAGAUCAAAGUAACUGAAAGGUGGGAUAACUGGAGUUUUUAUCAGUAGCUACUUUCAGCUUCAGUCAAAUUUAGCAUUUGCCUAAAGCCUAGAGCCUUUUUGGCUCUUACAAUAUGAAAGACCCUGCCAUCCCUGUUUUGUGGGAAACUCAGACUGUUGCAGAUAUUUAUCCGCAUUCAUCUGAACAGCUGCUUUCUUCUCUGCCUUAGAUAAGACCAAACUGUUGCAUUAGCAAAAGUGGUCCUUGAGAGGCCUUCCUUUUUCCAUUUAUCAAGGACAGCUGACCGCAGCUUUUCACAUAACAUGCUCUCUGGUCUCAGAGAGGUGCCAUUACGUACUUGUUUUUGUUAAGUCAGUGGUUAAGUGGUGUGAUACACAAUGUGUGUUUACUUAUUAUCUGAUAGUAUUGGUCUGAGUAGCCAAGAGCAGGCUGUACUCUCUUACUUUAUGGAAUGUGUAUAUAUAUAUAUCAUGGUUACCCUCCUGCAUUUCCCCAAGGGUUUUAAUAUUUCUUUUUCGCCUCGUCUUUUAGACUCCCUCAUAUGGAUGCAGUAAUCUGCUGAUAGCCCUUUCUUAAAUUUUGGGCCCAAUGUUUUCUUCCACUUGUGUGGGAGGUCAUCACUGGUGAGUUAUGCACAAAAGUGCCCAGUGAUGACUGACAUGGCCUCCAGUCCUCUGUCCAGAGCUGUGCCCUCUUCAACUUUCAUGUGUGUUCAGUGAUCUGAUUGUAAUAAAAAUUUUGACUCCAGAUCCGAAAUGUAAAUUGAAGUUGCCCACAGGACACUUUACUCCCCCAGCUGUUCAGGCUGUGAGCUCUAAAUGCCCUUUUCUGGCUGCAGAGAUGGUGCAGAAAAACAAUAGGCUAGCAAGAGAGGCCAGAAUGGAGCUGCAGGAGGAUGUUCAAGAGAUUCAGUGUUACCGCACAGGUAGACCGUCACAUAAAUAACCUAUACUUAUACCACAAAAAAACAAAUUAUGUAACCCGUGAAAGGUCAUUGUUUUGAGUAUGCACAGUUUAGUGACAGUUCAAGUGCAUACCCGAGGAAUGUCAUGCAUUUGAAGACUGCUGAAUGGGCCACAUUUGAAUAAGAAAAAUGAGCAUGAAGUUAUCAGUUGUGGAUCUUAUCGGGGCAUACGAGGCCAAUGCAGUGGAGCCAGAAAAACCCUUAUCUUCCAGUGUCACACCUGCUGAAGGAUAAGCUACCUGGAUGUAAGCUGAUUCUUCUAUUGCGCAAUUAUUUUCAAAAGUAAUAAAACUGAUUUGAAGUUUAAAACCCUUCUUCCACAAUUCUUUUUUGGCUGUUGCAUUCCAAUAUGAAAAGUUUUUUAAAAAGAAGAUGUAAAGCAAAAAAAAAAAAAACCUAAAAAAACAAAUCCACACAUAUAGAGUUUUUAAGAUGAGCCUCCUCGUUUCCUAUAGCAGAAAACUACUCAACGUUUUUCACACAAAGAGAGAUGUUCCUGUGUGGUGCAGCAACAACUACCUAGGCAUGAGCCAUCACCCAAAGUCAUCAAGGCUAUCGUGUGAGUAUUCACGCGGAUCAUCUGUAGCUCUUGUUACUUUUGUUUAGACCAAAUAUGAUGGAGAAAAAUAAUUCAGGGUUCAGGACAGUAAACUCUCUCUGUUUCUGUUCUGGAGAUAUGCUGUACAAAAUCAUGGUGCUAGUGCAGGGGAAGCACCAAACAUUUCAAUAACAAGCAACUUCCAUGUGGAUCUUCAUUAUGAACUACCUGACCUGCCUGGGAAGGAUGCAGCACCGCUGUUCACUUUCUGCUUUGUAGCCAAUGACUCUACAUAGUUUACCCUGUCAAAGAUGCUACCAGCUACUUCAGUUUUUGGCUUAAACUAAUGUAAUAAGCGACCUAAAGUUGAAUGUCUUUGAAUGGUUACACAUUUUCUUAUUUUGAUUGAAAUGUAUUUGAGAGAUUUUUUUCUUUCUUUUGUUUAUUCUGAGAGGUUGUGAAAUUUACUCGGAAGCCGGAAACCAUGCGUCAGUGAUUCAGGGUUUAAGUAACAGCGGGGCUAAAAAGUUUAUAUCGUCACAAUGACGCCAACCGCCUACAAGAGCUACUUGAGAAAUCGGACCCCUCCACUUCAAAAAUCAUUGCCUUUGAGGCUGUCCAUUCAAUGGAUGGAGCAGUGUGCCUACUUGAAGGGAUGUGCAAUGUUGCCCACAAGUUUGGUGCUAUUACAUUUGUGGAUGAAUUGCAUGAUAGAGGAUUAUAAGGCCCCAGAGGAGGAGGGAUUGAAGACAGAGAUAAAGUCAUGAAAAAAAUGGAUAUCAUCUCUGGUACACUUUGUAAGUGGAUGCCUCAUCAGUGAGAGCAAACAUUUUCUGACAACUGCUGCAUAGGUUUUAUAGAGGAUUUAAUUUCCAGCUAAGGCAAUCAGCUGUUUUGGGGGCUAUAUUGCCAGCAGCAACCCCUGGUGGACACAGUGCCCUGCUAUGCUGCAGGUUUCUUCUCUACUGCGUCUCUGCCCCCCAUGCUGUUGGCAGGGGAAUACAUUAAGAUCCUGAAAAGUGAAGAAGGCCAUGUGCUCAGAAGGAAACAUCAGAUGACUGUCAAGCUGCUUCGACAGAUGCUGAUGGAUUCUGGCUUUCCUGUGGUUUACUGCCCAAACCACAUUAUUCCUGUCCAAAUCGGCUGGUGAAACGUCAAAGGAAGUGGGUUUGGACCUGAGGUCGCCCUCCUUAGCAGAGUGCAACUUCUGCCAGCAACUUCUUCGCUUUGAAAGAUGAGUGUGAGAGAGAAGUCUGUCUUCACAGGCCUCAGUCCCAUGAGAUCAGCAGUUGCCUGACAUCACCAAAAGCACCGAAUUCUCAUGAUAUUAAAGCUGUGUUUUUUAUUUUAAAUAAACAUGUGUGGUUAAAGCA
This is a long non-coding RNA of Oreochromis niloticus (Nile tilapia), 4862 nucleotides long. RefSeq lists it as uncharacterized. The transcript is spliced from 5 exons. NCBI's taxonomy places the organism in Eukaryota, Metazoa, Chordata, Actinopteri, Cichliformes, Cichlidae. The record is from RefSeq and is a predicted model, not a curated record.